AGUGAACGCUGGCGGUAGGCCUAACACAUGCAAGUCGAACGGCAGCACAGUAAGAGCUUGCUCUUACGGGUGGCGAGUGGCGGACGGGUGAGGAAUACAUCGGAAUCUACUUUUUCGCGGGGGAUAACGUAGGGAAACUUACGCUAAUACCGCAUACGACCUACGGGUGAAAGCAGGGGAUCUUCGGACCUUGCGCGAUUGAAUGAGCCGAUGUCGGAUUAGCUAGUUGGCGGGGUAAAGGCCCACCAAGGCGACGAUCCGUAGCUGGUCUGAGAGGAUGAGCAGCCACACUGGAACUGAGACACGGUCCAGACUCCGACGGGAGGCAGCAGUGGGGAAUAUUGGACAAUGGGCGCAAGCCUGAUCCAGCCAUACCGCGUGGGUGAAGAAGGCCUUCGGGUUGUAAAGCCCUUUUGUUGGGAAAGAAAAGCAGCAGGUUAAUACCCCGCUGUUCUGACGGUACCCAAAGAAUAAGCACCGGCUAACUUCGUG
Molecule: ribosomal RNA, 492 nt
Filed under: uncultured bacterium
Lineage: Bacteria
Description: partial 16S ribosomal RNA
Rfam family: Bacterial small subunit ribosomal RNA
Source: RNAcentral